AAAGAUUAAGCCAUGCAUGUAUAAGUAUAAACGCUUUCAGCGUGAAACCGCGAACGGCUCAUUACAACAGCUAUAAUUUACUUGAUCUUGACAACCUACUUGGAUAACUGUGGUAAUUCUAGAGCUAAUACAUGCACCAAAGCUUCGCCCAGCGAUGGAGGAGCGCAUUUAUUAGAUCAAAACCAAACGGCUUCGGCCGUCCAUUGUUGACUCAGAAUAACUAAGCUGAUCGUACGGUCUUGCACCGACGACGUGUCUUUCAAGUAUCUGCCUUAUCAACUUUCGAUGGUAGUGUAUCUGACUACCAUGGUGAUGACGGGUAACGGAGGAUCAGGGUUCGACUCCGGAGAAGGGGCCUGAGAAAUGGCCACUACGUCUAAGGAUGGCAGCAGGCGCGCAAAUUACCCACUCUCAGAAUUUGGAGGAGGUAGUGACGAGAAAUAACGAGGCUGUUCUCUACAGAGGCCAGCCAUCGGAAUGGGUGCAAUUUAAAUCACUCAACGAGUAUCUAUGAGAGGGCAAGUCUGGUGCCAGCAGCCGCGGUAAUUCCAGCUCUCAAAAUGCAUAGAAUUAUUGCUGCGGUUAAAAAGCUCGUAGUUGGAUCUGUGCUGGUGUGCCGGUCUCGCCUUCGGGCGUGUACUGGUUCUCGCACUGGCUUUCCUGCAGUUUUCGGCUGGCUCUCCCUCACGGGUCUGCCUGUUCGGUGCUGCAAGUUUACUUUGAACA
Molecule: ribosomal RNA, 726 nt
Filed under: Pratylenchus kumamotoensis
Lineage: Eukaryota; Metazoa; Nematoda; Chromadorea; Rhabditida; Pratylenchidae
Description: bacterial SSU rRNA
Rfam family: Eukaryotic small subunit ribosomal RNA
Source: RNAcentral